GAUGAACGCUGGCGGCGUGCCUAAUACAUGCAAGUCGAGCGAACGGACGAGAAGCUUGCUUCUCUGAUGUUAGCGGCGGACGGGUGAGUAACACGUGGAUAACCUACCUAUAAGACUGGGAUAACUUCGGGAAACCGGAGCUAAUACCGGAUAAUAUUUUGAACCGCAUGGUUCAAAAGUGAAAGACGGUCUUGCUGUCACUUAUAGAUGGAUCCGCGCUGCAUUAGCUAGUUGGUAAGGUAACGGCUUACCAAGGCAACGAUGCAUAGCCGACCUGAGAGGGUGAUCGGCCACACUGGAACCGAGACACGGUCCAGACACCUACGGGAGGCAGCAGUAGGGAAUCUUCCGCAAUGGGCGAAAGCCUGACGGAGCAACGCCGCGUGAGUGAUGAAGGUCUUCGGAUCGUAAAACUCUGUUAUUAGGGAAGAACAUAUGUGUAAGUAACUGUGCACAUCUUGACGGUACCUAAUCAGAAAGCCACGGCUAACUACGUG
This 497-nucleotide ribosomal RNA is filed under the name uncultured bacterium. RNAcentral's name for it is "partial 16S ribosomal RNA". It matches the Rfam family "Bacterial small subunit ribosomal RNA", at positions 28 to 507 of the family's 1533-position model. The record is from RNAcentral.